Esox lucius (northern pike) is the source of this 2500-nucleotide long non-coding RNA. The record is from Ensembl. Lineage: Eukaryota; Metazoa; Chordata; Actinopteri; Esociformes; Esocidae.
GACAUCUUAGCUCCAAUCCAAUCAACUUUUAUUCCUUUGGAAGCGUACAGAGUUGGCAGGCCUUUUGAGCCAGUUGUACAGUUAUACCACUGACCUUCCAAUUACAGGCAGGGGCUGAUGGUCCACUCUACUACAGCAAUUCAGUCAGACUACAUCAGUCAUUCAUUUCAUUUCACUCAUCAGAUAGUUUUGUACUGUCAGAAUAAAUAGUCUGGUUAACAAUAACAAAGACAACUUCAGAAAGGUACAAAACAGCUAUAGAGCACUGAAUAUACUGUAUGUUUACAAUUGUAAGCAUAGAAGACUUCACUUAAUAUAAGUUACUGUAGUUUUGUUAUGUCCCGAAGCCCAGUUUACAGUAAAUAUGUAGUGUAGUGUGACCUUUGAUUCUAUUCGAAGGCAUGUCAUGAUGUAAUGACAGAAGAGUAAGGUGCCUAGUACUUGGUUUGGUCUGUGGUACACUGUGUCUGUGUGGGGGGUGGGGGCGGGCAAGGACGAAGGAUGAGUACCCCGCUGGCCCCAUAUAAGAACACAAACACAUGGGUGCAUGACAUCCCACCCGGCGUACAGACACAGCCCAUGUGACCGGCUGGCUCAGAGACAGCUGUGACUGUCUAACUGUGGCCCAGGUCAGAUCCUGGCCCGGAUCACAUGCUGCUUAACCCACGUCCAUGUCAGACCGCUAAUCAGUGACCAAUGUAAACGGACCUCUCAAAGCUAUCUUGGACGAGGCACCGUACCCCGUCUUGUGGAUUGAAAAGAGAUAGAGAGAGUGUGUGUGUGUUUCUGUGUAUGUGUGUGUGUGUGUGUGUGUGUGUGUGUUGGAGGGAAAGCGCUUCAGUGGCAGUGGACACUGACAGAAGUGGUCAUUCCUUGACAUUCCUGCUGGGUUAUGGUGGGGACAUGUAUUACGGUUGGGGCAGGUAUCCUGCUGAGUUAUGGUGGGGACCUGUAUUACGGUUAUGGUGGGGACAGGUAUUACGGUUGGGGCAGGUAUGUUGCUGGGUUAUGGUGGGGACCUGUAUUACGGUUGGGGCAGGUAUCCUGCUGGGUUAUGGUGGGGAUCUGUAUUACGGUUGGGGCAGGUAUCCUGCUGAGUUAUGGUGGGGAUCUGUAUUACGGUUGGGGCAGGUAUCCUGCUGGGUUAUGGUGGGGACCUGCAUUACGGUUGGGGCAGGUAUCCUGCUGGGUUAUGGUGGGGACCUGCAUUACAGUUGGGGCAGGUAUCCUGUUGCAGCAGCCCACCCUACUUCUGCCCUUUCCAGAGCACCUCCUCCCAGCAAACCUGUUGCCUAACCAGAGUCCCCCAGACUGGACUGAACGUGCACUUCUUGUACUGUCCCGCCUGUUCUGUAUGGACAUGCAGAUAUGGUACUGUAGCCACACACUGGGGCUGUUCGACAGUACGUAUCAGACGACAGCAAUUUAUCAUUGCAUUAAGACAUCUAAGCGCAGCUUACAUAAAUUCCUGAGUGUCCCAUUUGAGGGAAAUAGCCUUAUUCACCCGAACCCGCCAUCAUGUCUCUUUGCCUGGUGUAGACUACAGACAGCACCAUAGACAGUACAACGUUCAGCUAAGUGGAGUAACAUCAUUGCUUUGAUCCAGUAGUAAUGACAUGAAUGCUGUCCUUUUAAGAAUGUAGUGCAUUAUUUUGGGGUCACCUUGGACUCCAGUCUAUCGGUGUAAUCUGGUUUGUCUGAUACUGGCCCUCUACCUCCUCCACCAUCUCUCCAGCUGACAUAUCUAUUGGUCCUUUGACAGCCCCUCAGACCCACUGUAAUCUAGUCACAGGCUUCUCCUUCAGUCAGCUGUUGUUGCUGGGAUGAAUGGCGACUCGCCUUUACAAAGUGUAUAGGAGUUAAGUGUGUCUCAAUGUCAAAGUGCAGCUGGAAAACUGGAUAGAAGGGGGGAUGAGUGUUGAUUCAUGUGGUCUAAAUAACAUGCAGCUUUAAGAGGCUGGUGCUGACAUUGUUGCAUCGAGAAUGAUGGAUGGUCAGUAGUAUUCUUAGGCACUGGAUAAAAUCAAAGCAACUGUUCAUCAUAAUCAAACAAAUUCUCAAAAUAGGUGUUAUAUUAUUGCUGUAGAAUUGUUAUAUAAUUCAGUAUGUACCAUAAGGCUUUUGGUGCAGUCAGUGUUUGCUGAGAGAGACAGUGAGUAUAUUUAUAGAAGGUUGGAAAGCAGGGCCUAUCUACUUGUCAGUGCUUUUAAAAUUGUGCAUCUUUUUAAAUUGUUGCUGUAUUUAUUUUUUAUUGGAGUUAGAUGGUACCGUAUGGAUGGUGUAUUUUUAUUUCCCUAUGUUUGUUUUUUGUGUUUUAAAUUAGGUUUUGUUUGUGAUGCCUGUUUUGGCCAGUACACUCCUGAAAUAGAUUUGUAAUCUUUCCUGGAUAAAGGUUAAAUAAAAAUAAAUCCCAGCUUCAUUGUUUACCUGGCCCCACUAUCAAUGAUCCCAUUCAGUGUUUACCUGGCCCCUCUAUCAAUGAUCCCAUUCAGGGUUUUAC